CUUAUUUUCUGAAUAAUGCUGUAAAUGGGAAAGGACAUGGUGAGGGGAGAACGGAACCUCACGGGCAUGGCCUGGGCUACAUUUGUUUCUUAUAGCCUCAUGCUUUGUAUCUCCUAAGGACAUAAAACUAUUAGAGAGUGUCCAAGGGAGGGCUAUGAAGAUGGUGAAGGGUCUGGAGGGCAAGACACAUGUGGGUGGCUGAGGUCCCUGGGUUUGCUCAGCCCCGAGCAGAGCAGGCUGAGGAGAGGCCUCAUGGCGGCCUGCAGCUCCCUCACGAGGGGAGCGGAGGGGCAGGCGCUGAGCUCUGCUCUCUGGGGACAGCGACAGGACCCGAGGGGACGGCAUGGAGCUGGGACAGGGGAGGGUCAGGCUGGGGUUAGGGAAAGGGUCUGCACCCAGAGGGUGCUCGGGCACUGGGACAGGAUCCCCAGGGAUGCGGUCAUGGCACCGAGCUGCCAGAGUUCAAGAAGCACUUGGACAACACUCUCAGACAUAGGGUCUGAUUUUUGGGUGGAGCCAGGAGGUGGUCUCGGUGAUCCUUGUGGGUCCUUUCCCACUCGUGACAUUCUGUGAUUCUGUGACCCCCAGCACCCCACUGGGCAAUGUGCCGGGCUUUAACUCUGUUACACUGUAUGACGUACAAACGGGAUUUAAGAAAAGCUCUUAAAAUAUGUGGUGGGCACCAGGCAUCCCGUGUCCGCCUCCCAGACGCAGCCAUUUAUUUCACCUUCCCCCCGCGGCUGCUGGCGGGGCUGACAGCGGGGCGAGCCCCAGCCCCUGCCCUGCUUGGCUGCGGCUCCCUCGGCCACCUCGGGGGCAAACCGGAGGCGAAGAGGUGUGUGUUUGUGCAUGUAUGGUGUACGUGGGGUGUGUUUGUGUGUGUGUAUUUGUGUAUUUGUGCCCCGUGUGCGUGGCGGGCGGGGCACAGCCGCCUCCCCGCCGCGGGGUGGGGGGAUCGCAGCCAGCUCCCUGCCAGCGCCCCGCUCCCAGCCGCCGCAUGGUGAGGGGCUGCGGCGGGGGAAGCGGGACCGGGAGGGGCUGAGGGGAGGCAGGGACGGAGGGAUGGAGGACGGAAGGACGGAAAAAGGAGGAGGCCGGGUGCUGCUGGCUGGUUCCGGCGAUGGCGGCCCGGCCGCUUUCGCUUUCGCUUCCCCUUCCCAGCCGGGGCUCGGUGCCUGCGGCCGUGCCCUGCCGCCAGUGCAGAAAGGUGUAGUCCAGAACCAGAGUGCACCCCGGCUGUAUCCCACACGUUCCUCACUCGCUACAGGCCAAGAGAGCAGUAGCAAAUACUCUUUGCCACUCAGUUUUGAGGCCAGUGCUACUCUGAGAAGUGUUUCAGGGUUUUUUACCUUGGUAAAGGUAUAUUGUGCAAAUAUUAGCUCGAAGGGGGCUUUUUAG
Molecule: long non-coding RNA, 1398 nt
Filed under: Anas zonorhyncha (Eastern spot-billed duck)
Lineage: Eukaryota; Metazoa; Chordata; Aves; Anseriformes; Anatidae
Description: lncRNA (ENSAZOG00000003871.1)
Source: RNAcentral